UACGUAGGGUGCGAGCGUUAAUCGGAAUUACUGGGCGUAAAGCGCGUGUAGGCGGCUUCGCAAGUCGGGUGUGAAAUCCCACGGCUCAACCGUGGAAGUGCAUUCGAAACUGCGAGGCUAGAGUCCUGGAGAGGAAGGUGGAAUGCUUGGUGUAGAGGUGAAAUUCGUAGAUAUUGGGAAGAACACCAGUGGCGAAGGCGGCUAACUGGUCCAGUACUGACGCUGAGGUGCGAAAGCGUGGGGAGCAAACAGG
Molecule: ribosomal RNA, 253 nt
Filed under: uncultured bacterium
Lineage: Bacteria
Description: partial 16S ribosomal RNA
Rfam family: Bacterial small subunit ribosomal RNA
Source: RNAcentral